CCUANGGGUGGCAGCAGUGGGGAAUUUUGCGCAAUGGGGGAAACCCUGACGCAGCAACGCCGCGUGAGUGAUGAAGGCCUUCGGGUCGUAAAGCUCUUUUAGUGGGGAAGAAUCCCACCCGGGUUAAUACCUCGGGUGUCUGACGGUACCCACAGAAAAAGUUCCGGCUAACUACGUGCCAGCAGCCGCGGUAAUACGUAGGGAGCAAGCGUUGUUCGGAAUUAUUGGGCGUAAAGAGCGCGUAGGCGGUUCGGUAAGUCUGACGUGAAAUCCCAGAGCUUAACUCUGGAACUGCGUUGGAUACUGCCGAGCUUGAGUGUGGGAGAGGAGAGUGGAAUUCCCAGUGUAGAGGUGAAAUUCGUAGAUAUUGGGAGGAACACCCGUGGCGAAGGCGGCUCUCUGGACCACAACUGACGCUGAGGCGCGAAAGCUAGGGUAGCAAACGGGAUUAGAUACCCUANUANUC
RNAcentral lists this ribosomal RNA (466 nucleotides) under uncultured bacterium. Its description in RNAcentral is "bacterial SSU rRNA". It matches the Rfam family "Bacterial small subunit ribosomal RNA", at positions 338 to 795 of the family's 1533-position model. The record is from RNAcentral.